This 253-nucleotide ribosomal RNA is filed under the name uncultured bacterium. RNAcentral describes it as "partial 16S ribosomal RNA". It matches the Rfam family "Bacterial small subunit ribosomal RNA", at positions 524 to 776 of the family's 1533-position model. The record is from RNAcentral.
UACGUAGGGAGCUAGCGUUGUCCGGAAUCAUUGGGCGUAAAGCGCGCGUAGGCGGCCCGGUAAGUCCGCUGUGAAAGUCAAAGGCUCAACCUUUGAAUGUCAGCGGAUACUGCCGGGCUAGAGUACGGAAGAGGCGAGUGGAAUUCCUGGUGUAGCGGUGAAAUGCGCAGAUAUCAGGAGGAACACCUAUUGCGAAGGCAGCUCGCUGGGACGUUACUGACGCUGAGACGCGAAAGCGUGGGGAGCGAACAGG